CUAAUACUCCCUCCGUCCAACAAAGAAUGUCUCAACUUUAACUUGAAUGCAUCGAUACACUAAGUCACAUCUAGAUACAUCCAAAUUUUGACAAACUUGAGACAUCUUUUGUUGGAUGGAGAGAGUACCAC
Non-coding RNA from Brachypodium distachyon (stiff brome), 131 nucleotides. Lineage: Eukaryota; Viridiplantae; Streptophyta; Magnoliopsida; Poales; Poaceae. The record is from Rfam.